UACUCGCUGCGAGCUAAAGAUUGUUCGUGGCUUAGGGAAACCGAUAAGUAUCCCACCUGGGGAGUACGCCGGCAACGGUGAAACUCAAAGGAAUUGACGGGGGCCCGCACAAGUGGUGGAGCAUGUGGUUUAAUUCGAUGAUACGCGAGGAACCUUACCUAGGCUAGAAUGCGCGUGACCGGCUCAGAGAUGAGCCUUUCCUUCGGGACACAAAGCAAGGUGCUGCAUGGCCGUCGUCAGCUCGUGCCGUGAGGUGUUGGGUUAAGUCCCGCAACGAGCGCAACCCCUAUGUUUAGUUGCCAGCAUGUAAUGAUGGGGACUCUAGACAGACUGCCUGCGCAAGCAGUGAGGAAGGCGGGGACGACGUCAGGUCAUCAUGGCCCUUACGCCUAGGGCGACACACGUGCUACAAUGGACGGUACAGCGGGUAGCUACUGGGCGACCAGAUGCCAAUCUCGAAAAGCCGUUCUCAGUUCGGAUCGGAGUCUGCAACUCGACUCCGUGAAGCUGGAAUCACUAGUAAUCGCGCAUCAGCCAUGGCGCGGUGAAUACGUUCCCGGGCCUUGUACACACCGCCCGUCAAGCCAUGAAAGUCUGGUAG
This 601-nucleotide ribosomal RNA is filed under the name uncultured bacterium. RNAcentral's name for it is "bacterial SSU rRNA". It matches the Rfam family "Bacterial small subunit ribosomal RNA", at positions 814 to 1418 of the family's 1533-position model. The record is from RNAcentral.